GGACAGUCACCAAUGCACUGAACUCAAACAAUAAACAACAAUUACCAAAAUACCCCUGGAACCACUGGUCAAUCCUUGGUCAAAGACAAGGUCAAAGUCAACCCCUGACUGACCCUACUCGCCGAGUCAACCCUAUGACUCGCCGAGUCCCCAUACUCAGAACUUCACUUAACCCGCGACCUAACUCGCCGAGUCACCCCAAGACUCGCCGAGUUCAACAACUCUGAGUCCACUCGCCCUUGACUCACCGAUUCUCUAAGAUUCCCUUUCUACACGUCGAGUAUCCCCCUUUUGACUCGACGAGUUCCUCCUGGAAGAAUCGCGGGGCCACCCCGACUCAACUCGCCGAGUCUGAAGAACAACUCGACGAGUCCCAGUUAAUCUUCAAGCUACUCGCCGAGUCUGUUCAUCGACUCGGCGAGUCCAUGCCAUGCAACCGCUCAACUGCAUCCUGGGAUAGUUAUGGUUCCGAAAUACACAAGCAUGGGACCUUCUGGACCUCUAAAGGUCCUAAUACAGGGUUAUAUUCGUUUGGUUAACAAAGUAAUAAUCCAUCUAAUCACCAAAUGGGUUCCAUAAACCCUAGAUCCAUGCACACAUCAAUAUAACAGAAAUGAUCCGAAAUAUUACCUGAAUAACACACUCUAUGUGUCCCCAAACCUUAGAACUCGAAUCCCUUGCAGUUCCUUUAGCCAAGACUCUUCUCCUCCUUGCACCACAAUUUCUUCAAGUCACCAAUGGCCUUCAAUCUUGCCCUAGAUGCCCACAGCCGCUUAGGGUCUUCUCAGUCGACUAAAAGACGGGCAAUGACGGCAUAUAGUGCGUUAUAUACGACCCAAACCUGAACGGUUAGGGUUUUCGCUAAACAGCGUAGACUCGCCGAGUCCAUAUCGGACUCGUCGAGUCCGGUCGCGAACCCGCGACCAAGUCUGCGAUCCUACUCGGCGAGUCUAGGCUCCAACUCGCCGAGUCCCCUCUUAAAACACCCCCAAAAUCAUACUUAUAUCAAUAUUUGAAAUUCCGG
Molecule: long non-coding RNA, 1024 nt
Filed under: Lactuca sativa (garden lettuce)
Lineage: Eukaryota; Viridiplantae; Streptophyta; Magnoliopsida; Asterales; Asteraceae
Description: long non-coding RNA (LSAT_LNC006797)
Source: RNAcentral